Molecule: ribosomal RNA, 238 nt
Filed under: uncultured bacterium
Lineage: Bacteria
Description: partial 16S ribosomal RNA
Rfam family: Bacterial small subunit ribosomal RNA
Source: RNAcentral
UGGCGGACGGGUGAGUAACGCGUGGGUAACCUGCCUCACACUGGGGGACAACAGUUAGAAAUGACUGCUAAUACCGCAUAAGCGCACAGGACCGCAUGGUCUAGUGUGAAAAACUCCGGUGGUGUGAGAUGGACCCGCGUUUGAUUAGCUAGUUGGUGGGGUAACGGCCUACCAAGGCGACGAUCAAUAGCCGACCUGAGAGGGUGACCGGCCACAUUGGGACUGGGACACGGCCCAA